Molecule: ribosomal RNA, 1346 nt
Filed under: uncultured bacterium
Lineage: Bacteria
Description: partial 16S ribosomal RNA
Rfam family: Bacterial small subunit ribosomal RNA
Source: RNAcentral
GACGAACCUUUGCGGCGUGCUUAACACAUGCAAGUCGAACGGAAAGGCCCUGCUUUUGUGGGGUGCUCGAGUGGCGAACGGGUGAGUAACACGUGAGUAACCUGCCCUUGACUUUGGGAUAACUUCAGGAAACUGGGGCUAAUACCGGAUAGGAGCUCCUGCUGCAUGGUGGGGGUUGGAAAGUUUCGGCGGUUGGGGAUGGACUCGCGGCUUAUCAGCUUGUUGGUGGGGUAGUGGCUUACCAAGGCUUUGACGGGUAGCCGGCCUGAGAGGGUGACCGGCCACAUUGGGACUGAGAUACGGCCCAGACUCCUACGGGAGGCAGCAGUGGGGAAUAUUGCACAAUGGGCGGAAGCCUGAUGCAGCAACGCCGCGUGCGGGAUGACGGCCUUCGGGUUGUAAACCGCUUUCGCCUGUGACGAAGCGUAAGUGACGGUAAUGGGUAAAGAAGCACCGGCUAACUACGUGCCAGCAGCCGCGGUGAUACGUAGGGUGCGAGCGUUGUCCGGAUUUAUUGGGCGUAAAGGGCUCGUAGGUGGUUGAUCGCGUCGGAAGUGUAAUCUUGGGGCUUAACCCUGAGCGUGCUUUCGAUACGGGUUGACUUGAGGAAGGUAGGGGAGAAUGGAAUUCCUGGUGGAGCGGUGGAAUGCGCAGAUAUCAGGAGGAACACCAGUGGCGAAGGCGGUUCUCUGGGCCUUUCCUGACGCUGAGGAGCGAAAGCGUGGGGAGCGAACAGGCUUAGAUACCCUGGUAGUCCACGCUGUAAACGGUGGGUACUAGGUGUGGGGUCCAUUCCACGGGUUCCGUGCCGUAGCUAACGCUUUAAGUACCCCGCCUGGGGAGUACGGCCGCAAGGCUAAAACUCAAAGGAAUUGACGGGGCCCCGCACAAGCGGCGGAGCAUGCGGAUUAAUUCGAUGCAACGCGUAGAACCUUACCUGGGUUUGACAUGGAUCGGGAGUGCUCAGAGAUGGGUGUGCCUCUUUUGGGGUCGGUUCACAGGUGGUGCAUGGCUGUCGUCAGCUCGUGUCGUGAGAUGUUGGGUUAAGUCCCGCAACGAGCGCAACCCUUGUUCACUGUUGCCAGCACGUUAUGGUGGGGACUCAGUGGAGACCGCCGGGGCCAACUCGGAGGAAGGUGGGGAUGACGUCAGGUCAUCAUGCCCCUUAUGUCCAGGGCUUCACGCAUGCUACAAUGGCUGGUACAGAGAGUGGCGAGCCUGUGAGGGUGAGCGAAUCUCGGAAAGCCGGUCUCAGUUCGGAUUGGGGUCUGCAACUCGACCUCAUGAAGUCGGAGUCGCUAGUAAUCGCAGAUCAGCAACGCUGCGGUGAAUACGUUCCCGGGGCU